Anolis carolinensis (green anole) is the source of this 6609-nucleotide long non-coding RNA. RefSeq lists it as uncharacterized. The transcript is spliced from 2 exons. Lineage: Eukaryota; Metazoa; Chordata; Lepidosauria; Squamata; Anolidae. The record is from RefSeq and is a predicted model, not a curated record.
CUUCACUUCCUCCCUCCUUCCUCCUUCCCUCGCGCCCCGGCGGGCCAAUCAGCGUCGGCGUCGCAGAGCCUGCCGGGAGAAGGGGCUAUAAAAGUCUGCAAGCUAUUUGUGAACAGGGCUGUUGUAACUUUCCCGGCAGCGCGGAAGGAGGGAGCAGCAGCAGAAGAAUGAGAGAAGGCGAGGGAGGAGCUAGAGGGAUGGAUGUGCAGUGUUUGUGGGCGAGUGGAUGUUUACGAGUAGGGGAGAGAACAGAAUAUUUCUAGGCUUUUGAAUUAAAUCUAAUACUGCAGUAAUCAAAAUUUUAUCUCCUCAAGAAGGGUUCAAUAUACGAACAAGCCAUGGGAGUAAAGGCAAAGAUCUACCAUGAGGAAAAGUGCUCUUACCAUACAUCAAGGGAAACACCGACCGCAUAGGGAAGCUGAUGAAGAAACACAAGCUACAAACUAACUACAGACCCAUUAAGAAAAUCCAACAAAUGCUACAUUCUGGAAAGGACAUGAGGGAUCCUCUCACCUCUGCAGGAGUUUACCAUACACCAUGCAGCUGUGGACAAGUCUACAUAGGGACCACCAAAUGCAGCAUUGCCCAAAUAUGUAUCAAGGAACAUGAAAGGCACUGCAGACUAACUCAACCAGAAGUCAGCCAUAGCAGAGCACCUGAUGACCAACCUGGACACAGAAUAUUAUUUGAGAACACAGAAAUGCUGGACCAUUCCAACAACCACCAUGUCAGACUACACAGAGAAGCCACUGAAAUCCACAAGUGUAUGGACAAUUUCAACUGAAAGGAGGAAACUUUAUGGUGAACAAAAUCUGGCUACCAGUAUUAAAAAAAAUCUCAAAAAUCUGGACAAUAAAGAGCUCAUCUCAGAAAACAGGGGAAUUCCAGGCAUGAAACAAUCAGGGCCAGUUAACACCUCCCAAGAAACACCUCCAAAGAAAUGAUUCCCUGUGGCAGGAAGCAGCCAGAUUUUGAAGCUGAAAGACCAUGCAAUGCUAAUCAAAGUGAUCAGUUGCAACAUUUACACUUGCCUCAAGCAGACAAGAGUUCUUUCUCCUACCCUGGGCAUUCCACAGAUACAUAAUCCCCACUUACCUAGUUUUCAACAAACCUCACAACCUCUGAGAUGCCUGCCAUAAAUGUGAGUGAAACGUCAGGAGAGAAUGCUCUGGAACAUGGCCAUAUAGCCCGGAGAACACACUGCAACCCAGUAACAUAUUAACAAAUCUUUCAAUUUAUAUUAUUUGAAUUUAUAUUCUUAUCAAUACAAAUAUAAAUGAAUGUUUUUAAAUGAAUUAAUGGAUUUAUAUUUUUUAUAUUCUGCCUUACUCUCCUCAAUGCAAUGCAAGGUGGCUGACAUGUUUAGAACAAUGCCAAGUAAAUGCAGCUCAAAAUUCAGAAUAAAAAUAUUGAUAAAAAUAUGGAUUUAUAUUUCCAAACAUAUAUUUAUAACCAUAAAUGCAUAUUUAUAAUUAUAAAAUUCACAUUUAUAAAUAUACACUCAUAUUUAUAUACAUUCAUUUAUAUUUUUAUUCUGAUUUUUCAUGUUGCUCUUAACUUGUAUUAUUUUUAACAUGUUAGCCACCUUGAGCUUCAUUAUGAGGAGCAAGACAGGAUAUAAGCAUCAUAAAUGAGUCAGGGCCACCUCCCAAGCUUAUACCUAACUAUAACAUAAGAUGUGUUCCCUUUUUGUUUGCAUUGUACUUGUCAAGCAGGAAGAUGUUCAAGAAAAAGGCAGUUGUGAAGUACAGAACAAACAAGUGCCUGCCAAUUAUUUGCCAAAGGAAGACAGGAAACACCACUGGACCUUUGGCUUUUUGGUCAUUUUUUUGCUCUUUUACAGUGUGGGUCAGUCAGGGCAUGCGUUUGUACUUACAUAUUUACAUGACUACUAUAGGUUGAGUAUCCGUUUUUUGGGGGAAAACAUUUUGGAUUAAAGAUCUUCAGAUUUUGCAAAUACAAAAUUAGAUAUUUUGGGAGUCUAAACAUAAAAUUCAUGUAUACUAUACACCUGAAUGUAAUCUUAUAUACAACAUUUUUCAUGUUGUAUUUGAAACAAGGUUUCUAUACAUUGGACCAUCACAAAGCAAAAAUGUCACUAUCCCAGCCAUUCACAAAGGCAAUUCUGGAAUAUUUUGGAUUUCUGGGUAAGGUAUGAUCAACCUGUACCUUGUUUCCAACCAGAGAUGAAGGACCACCUCAUAGUUUCCAUGGCUAUUUUUUAAAUAUGUAUUGGGACAGGGGAAGGUUCUCUCAUUUUCUUGUCAAGAAGCUCAGUGGCAAGAAAAUGAGAGAAUCUUCCCAGUCCUAAUGAGGCUCAGUGGGUGAACUUGUGUAAGUUUCAUUUUUUUCAACCUGAUCUACCUCACUGAGUCACUGUUAGGAUAGUGUGCUAGAGGCCAUACGUGCUGCUGUUAGUUUUUUGGAAGAAGGGCAGUACAUAAUGAUUAAUGGGACCUGUUCAAAGAACACAGAAGCAUCCUGAACAUUCUGACCAAAGAGGAUUGUGGGCUACCCUGUAGAAGCAGUGGUGACUAUGUCAUGACUCUGUGUAGUGACUUUGGAAGAAGCUUGACAAAAAAUAAUCACAAUUCUCUAAUGUGGACUCCUCUCUUAGAAAUGUAUGCACUCAUUGGAAUAGUGAAAUCUUUGGUAAAGCCGCAAGAAGUUGUCUUAUAAAUGAACCAGAUCUUCAACUUAGCUCAGUGUUGACAAGUCAUGCUUGGCCACAAGCCUGGCUUACUUUGCAAGUUAAUUAUGUAUUCUGCACCAGAACCAUGCUUCAAGAUAGGAACUGAAUUCAAAAGAACAUUGAUAAUAUAGGACAUUAUAUUGAAAUUAAUAGAAUGAAAUUCAGUAGAAAUGAAUGCAAUAUUUUAUGUUUAGGACUCAAAAAUACACAGAUAUAGGAUAGAAGAAUACUUGGCAUAGUAUUCUUGGCAUGUGAAAAAGACCUUGGGAUUGUUGCUGAUCAUAAUAAAGCAAUGUGAUUUUGCAGCAAAGAAAAUAAAUACUAGUUUAUCUUGAGUUAACAGAAAUGUAAUUUAAAAGUAAAAAAAAGCAGCAAAGCGAUAGGGAUAAAAAUAUGGUGAAAAAACCAUGAGGAAAAUGUGAGGGAGUUGGAUAUAUGCAACCUGGUUCAGAGAAGUCUGAUGAGCAACGUGAUUGCACUCUUUUCUGGUCUGUUUCAGAAGGGAGGAUGCAAGUUUGUUUUCUUAUCUCAGUAGAACCAGGUCUAAUUGUUUUAACUUAUAGGAGGCUAGAUUUUAAUUGAGAAGGAACAUCUUGAUGGCAAAAGCAUUUCAGCAGUGGAACCAAUUUUCUCAGUUGGAGGUGGGGGUCUCUAUCUGGACAGAUUUAAAAAUAAAUUUGACAGAUACCUGCUGGGGAUGCUUUACUUGCAGUUUCUGCACAGAGUGUUAGAUUCAAUGAAAUAGAAGGUUCUAGCUAGCUUAUACACAUUUCUCUGUUUUAUCAAUACAAAGGGUAUGAUUCUCCCAUCUAGUUAAGUGUAACUGAUAGCAGUGCUAAAAAAGACAUUGGUAGCACAUUUAAAACUAACACUUUUUUUUUAGCAUGAGCCUUUGUGGAUUGCAGUUGGCUUUCUCACAUGUGUGAAAUGGAUUAUAAUCCAUGAAGGUUCAUGCUAAAAUAAAUUGAGCCUUAAAAGUGCUACAAACCUUUUUUUGUAAUUGAACACACUAGCACCACUAUCUCUUGGAAAAAAAUCAGAGAGAGAUUAAGCAUAUAAAUCACAUCUUGUUGAAAUAAAUGGGAAUUGAAAGUGCUCUUGAAUUUAUACAGGGAAAAGGGGAUAUAAAUUAAAACAUACCCUAUGAAACAAAACAAAAAACCCCUUAAAACAAUUCUUUAGUAUUGCCUUAGUAUAUCAUACUACUACUAGUACACUUCUGGUUUACAAAUCUAGUCGGAUUAAGUUGGAUCGAUGUUCAUGCUUUGUCACAUAACAAUGCAAAUUUUGACAUGUGAGCUCAAUAUGCAAAAAAAAUCUAUCUUCCCUAUUUUGUUAUAUUUGUGUUCAAUGUAGCAUUAUGUUCUUGAUAGCAUUGGAAAAAAUACCUAGGAAGGCCUGAGUCUCAGCUCUAUACAUAAAAUUUAUUGCUACCUAUUGUGGCUUUAUCAAUCAUUCUGGGCCCAUUCACUUGAAAUUUUUCUGUCUUCCACAGAAAGCCACAAGUCCUUUUUUGCAGGGAUGGUACUGAUGGAAAAUGGCAGCAUACAUAAUCUACACAGGAAUAGUUUUCAAAUAAAAUCUUGAGCAAGAGAGGGUAAUAUUUCCUGUUUGCAGAUCCUUGUACAAUGCCAUGUUUUUUAAGUAUUUCAGAGGUUAGCAGCUUGUGUUACUGCAUCCGAAGGUGGCUUACAAGGGUUGUAAAUGUGUUACAGAGAACUGGACCCCACAAAGUAACUGCAUCAUAUGUAGCUUUAUAUAAAUAAACAUAUCUUAGAUAGGCCACUGGAUGGUGCUAAUACUUCACCAUUUAAAGAGCUGUUCAUCAUGCAGCAUCUCUCCCCACCUCCCAAUUUUUAUUCCUUCAAGCUUGCAAGUUUCUCAAAUGUAUUAUUUAAAAGAAAGCUAACCAUUUCUUCACUGAAUGCGUUAUUAAGAAUCCCCCACUGCACCUUUUAAGAUACACACACAAAUUAAGCCAAAUAGCUACAGGUUGUGAACACAAUCUAAUUUGGAGAUAAAAUCCAGAUUAAACCAGCAAGCACUGGUGUGAUUUUGUUAUGUUGAUCAAAAACUGUUUAGAUGUUCAAGAAAACAGAGGAGAAACCAAGCCAAACUGAGGUGAGAAUCAUGGUAGAUAGUCCUAUAGCAUUGUAGCAGCAAGAAAAAAAAAUCACGACAGAAUAAGGAUUAUCAAAAUAUGAGAUAUCACUCUCAUGUCUUGAUAAAAAAAUCUAUAGCACACAGAUAUGUACAAAGCUGUAUGCAGGUCUGAUCACCCUAUCUUAAAAGGUUGUACAGUACAGAGCAGCCAAACAAAUUGAAGAGAAUGAAACACCUCUGAAGAGCCAGGAUUAGCAACUUUUGUCCAUCCUGCUCAAACUUCCAUCAUUCAUAGUGCUGGCAGGGUUGCUGAAAAAUCUGGUGACAGUGUAGGGGGCUGGUGAAAGUUGUAGUCAAAAGUAUCUAAGAAAGCAUAUGUUGCUCACUCCUACAUUUAAGGAAAGAGUAAAGAAGUCAGAUCUAUUUAGGAAAAAAUGACUUGAAGUGGGAAUUAACUCAAUUUAUAAAAUCAUGCAUGUAGAACAUUUCUUCAGAACAUUUUCCCUAUUAACAAUUUGGAACUUGUUAGUGGGCUUCAUGGAAAUAUUGAAUUAGCUGGCUCCUGCUAACUAUGAAUGAGACUCCUGGGUCAGCAGUCCAGCUUAGAUCUUGCAGACUCAGAGCUGGGAUGUUCUUGAUUGAGUCGAUCUACAUUUAAUUUGGAUUUUGUCUUUUCCUACUGCUUUCCACCAUAACAAGCAUGAUUGUCUUUUCUAAUGAUUAGUGUCUUCUCGAUACAGCCAAGGUACAACAGUACGAGUUUGAUCUUUUUAGUGGCGCACCCAUUUAGAGAACAAUCUAUAGUUUUUCCUAUUAUACACAAUCUAAGGUUUUGCUAUAAGCUAUUAAGCACAAGCUGAUUUUAUGAAAUUCUUUGGUGCACAAUCUGACCUUGCAGAAUCAUAAAGAUGGAAAAUAAUAAGACAGUGAGACUAAUAGCGUUACAAGGGCACUGAACUUUGAAUAUAGGCAUGUCUGCGUAAGAAUCUUCUCCCUCCUUGUCCUCUGUCUAAUCAUUUUUACCCAUAGCAACAUCAUAGGAGGGAGAAGAUGGAGAAACACAAAAGUUGAGUGUUGGAUUGCAAUGCAAUAAGGUCUGAAUAGGGCAAAAAUAGGAUUGCACUCUGAAUCUGCUGUACCUGCCCACAACCAGCAAAGUAAAUGGCAGCUGCCCCUGGAAUCCAUUAGUAAGCAUAAAUGAGCAGUAAAACGGAGAGAAAAGUGGAGAUUAGAUGAGCCUCACAAGCUAUCCCUCAGUAUGGUUACUAUUUUACAAAAGCAUAAAUCUCCAAGUUUGGCACCAAAAUGGAAAUUAUAAGAAAAGUGAAGACUAGUGCAAGGAAACAAUAAUCCAAGGAUGCACUUGAAAAGCAGCCUUCAAGUGUUUUCACGCAGGCAAGGCUUAUAUCUUUCAUUCUGAAUACCGUAUAUACUUGAGUAUAAGCCGACCCAAAUAUAAGCUGAGGCACCUAAUUUUACCACAAAAACUGGAAAAACUUAUUGACUUGAGUAUAAGACGAGGGUGGGAAAUGCAGCAGCUACUGGUAAAUUUCAAAAAUAAAAAUGAUAUGGAGGGGGGAGAAGUGGCUGGUGGUUUUGCUGUGAAAAUGUUUUGAAUUUGAGUGAUGGUAGAGUAUGUUAUACUUACUUAUUUAGUACAAGUUGUCAUUUGAAUACAGAUCCAGACACAUUCCAUUAUUUUUGAAUGUAUAUUUUCUUAUUGUAUAUUAGAUUGUUUUUGUCAAAUAAUUAAUAAAAUAAUUUCAAAGAAAAUACAAAUAUUUAUUAAUAAAAUUACUUUAAUUGAGGCAUCA